Non-coding RNA from Bactrocera oleae (olive fruit fly), 373 nucleotides. The record is from RefSeq and is a predicted model, not a curated record. Lineage: Eukaryota; Metazoa; Arthropoda; Insecta; Diptera; Tephritidae.
AGGCAAACGAAAAUGACAAAUAUCGACAAUUUGCAGCUAAAUAUUGUGUAAUUAAAAAUUCGCACAUUUCAAUAUAAAUCAAUUGGCAGCUGCCAGUAUAAGACGAAGAAGAAGAAGAGAACAGCGAAAGAAAAUGCCUUUCUCUUAUGGCUACAAAUGUGAGGUUAAAGUUGAUUCUUGGCGCGGUGGCUGAUUCUAAUGACGUUGGUGGAACAAUUGCAAGAAGGAGAGCGCCAAAACUACGUGAAUAUCCGCAAGUGAAUCGAAAUACCGAUCAUAUGCGUGGUUUGGGUUGAGUUGUUUAUAGAAUAUUAUUGAUAUUAUUUAAAAUAUUGAACAAUAAAUUAGUAUUAAAUAUUUUAAAAAAUUUUUA